UUGGAUUAAAUUGGAGGUAAAAGUGGUGUUGGAUGAGAGUGGCGAACGGGUGAGUAACACGUAGGCUAUCUACCCCCGGAUAGGGGAUAGUCCAUGGAAACAUGGGGUAAUACCGUAUAUGGUCUUUCUUAAAGGAAGAUUAAAGGUGCUUUCGGGCAUCGUCUGGGGAUGAGCUUGCGGUCCAUUAGCUAGUUGGUAGGGUAAAGGCCUACCAAGGCGAUGAUGGAUAGCCGGCCUGAGAGGGUGUACGGCCACACUGGGACUGAGACACGGCCCAGACUCCUACGGGAGGCAGCAGCUAAGAAUCUUCUGCAAUGGGCGAAAGCCUGACAGAGCGACGCCGCGUGAACGAUGAAGGCCGAAAGGUUGUAAAGUUCUUUUCUUAGCGAAGAAUUAGUUUAAGAGGAAAUGCUUGAAUGAUGACGUUAGUUAAGGAAUAAGCCCCGGCCAAUUACGUGCCAGCAGCCGCGGUAACACGUAUGGGGCGAGCGUUGUUCGGAUUUAUGGGGCGUAAAGGGCGUGUAGGCGGUUUUACAAGCCCGGUGUGAAAUAUCUCGGCUUAACCGAGAACUUGCGCUGGGAACUGUAAGACUAGAGUUUUGGAAAGGAAGCUGGAAUUCCUGGUGUAGGGGUGAAAUCUGUAGAUAUCAGGAAGAACACCAAUGGCGAAGGCAAGCUUCUAGCCAAAGACUGACGCUGAGGCGCGAAAGCGUGGGGAGCAAACAGGAUUAGAUACCCUGGUAGUCCACGCUGUAAACGAUGUGCACUGGGUGUAGGUGGUGUUGAGCUAUCUGUGCCGUAGCUAACGCGAUAAGUGCACCGCCUGGGGAGUAUGCUCGCAAGGGUGAAACUCAAAGGAACUGACGGGCCCCCGCACAAGCGGUGGAGCAUGUGGCUUAAUUCGAUGGUACGCGAGGCACCUUAGCAGGGUUUGACAUGUACAUGAAGACCUGA
Molecule: ribosomal RNA, 954 nt
Filed under: uncultured bacterium
Lineage: Bacteria
Description: bacterial SSU rRNA
Rfam family: Bacterial small subunit ribosomal RNA
Source: RNAcentral